GGAAGGAGAGAUGGCUUAAAGGGGUACGCGGGCUUCUUCUGCGUAUUCGCUCCAGGAUGGGACUGCGUCCGAUCAGGCUGUUGGCGGGGUAAUGGCCCACCAAACCUGUAACCGGUACGGGCCUUGAGAGAGGUGGCCCGGAGAUGGACACUGAGAGAAGGGUCCAGGUCCUACGGGGCGCAGCAGGCGCGAAACCUUCGCAAUGCGCGAAAGCGUGACGAGGUUAAUCCGAGUGGCCCCCGCUGAGGGGGUCUUUUGUCAGCUGUAAAUAGGCGGGCGAAUAAGGGGAGGGUAAGCCUGGUGUCAGCCGCCGCGGUAAUACCAGCUCCUCGAGUGGUCGGGGCGAUUAUUGGGCCUAAAGCAUCCGUAGCCGGUUCCGUAGGUCCUCUGUUAAAUCCACCCGCUUAACGGGUGACCUGCAGAGGAUACCGCGGGACUAGGAGGCGGGAGAGGCGGACGGUACUCCGCGUGUAGGGGUAAAAUCCUUUGAUCCGCGGAAGA
This 501-nucleotide ribosomal RNA is filed under the name uncultured archaeon. RNAcentral describes it as "bacterial SSU rRNA". It matches the Rfam family "Archaeal small subunit ribosomal RNA", at positions 172 to 656 of the family's 1478-position model. The record is from RNAcentral.